GCCUUCGUGGUGUAGUGGUAAACACGCUGGGAGGGUAUUCCAGAGGUCCGUGGUUCGAGUUUCGGCGAAGACG
RNAcentral lists this transfer RNA (73 nucleotides) under Stegodyphus mimosarum. It matches the Rfam family "tRNA". From Rfam's summary of the family: Transfer RNA (tRNA) molecules are approximately 80 nucleotides in length. The record is from Rfam by way of RNAcentral. Lineage: Eukaryota; Metazoa; Arthropoda; Arachnida; Araneae; Eresidae.